UACGUAGGGUGCAAGCGUUAUCCGGAAUGAUUGGGCGUAAAGGGCUCGUAGGCGGUCUGUUGCGUCGGGAGUGAAAACUCAGGGCUUAACCCUGAGCCUGCUUCCGAUACGGGCAGACUAGAGGUAUGCAGGGGAGAACGGAAUUCCUGGUGUAGCGGUGAAAUGCGCAGAUAUCAGGAGGAACACCGGUGGCGAAGGCGGUUCUCUGGGCAUUACCUGACGCUGAGGAGCGAAAGUGUGGGGAGCGAACAGG
This 253-nucleotide ribosomal RNA is filed under the name uncultured bacterium. RNAcentral describes it as "partial 16S ribosomal RNA". It matches the Rfam family "Bacterial small subunit ribosomal RNA", at positions 524 to 776 of the family's 1533-position model. The record is from RNAcentral.